This 464-nucleotide ribosomal RNA is filed under the name uncultured Syntrophaceae bacterium. RNAcentral's name for it is "bacterial SSU rRNA". It matches the Rfam family "Bacterial small subunit ribosomal RNA", at positions 920 to 1382 of the family's 1533-position model. Lineage: Bacteria; Pseudomonadati; Thermodesulfobacteriota; Syntrophia; Syntrophales; Syntrophaceae. The record is from RNAcentral.
CCCGCACAAGCGGUGGAGCAUGUGGUUUAAUUCGAUGCAACGCGAAGAACCUUACCUGGGCUUGACAUCCCAAGAAUCCCCUGGAAACAGGGGAGUGCCCUUCGGGGAGCUUGGAGACAGGUGCUGCAUGGCUGUCGUCAGCUCGUGUCGUGAGAUGUUGGGUUAAGUCCCGCAACGAGCGCAACCCUUGCCUUUAGUUGCCAUCAUUCAGUUGGGCACUCUAGAGGGACUGCCGGUGUCAAACCGGAGGAAGGUGGGGAUGACGUCAAAUCAUCAUGCCCCUUAUGACCUGGGCUACACACGUGCUACAAUGGGCGGUACAAAGGGUCGCGAACCCGCGAGGGGGAGCCAAUCCCAAAAAGCCGCUCUCAGUUCGGAUUGCAGGCUGCAACUCGCCUGCAUGAAGCCGGAAUCGCUAGUAAUCGCGGAUCAGCAUGCCGCGGUCGAAUACGUUCCCGGGCCUU